CCUCAACCUAAUUUUCUCUUAUGCAUGUACAGUAUCUAAUAUCUGCAACACUCCAUUUCUGAUCACCACCUCUUAUUGUUUGCUCUCAAGUACCCCCUCACUCAACAACCUCAGCCUAACCCCCCUCAACUCAGGAGGAAACUUAAUUCUAUUGACCUCCAGCAGCUGUCAGCUGAUGUUGAUUCACAACUGUUCUCCAUCCCUUCCCUCUCC
Non-coding RNA from Pelobates cultripes (western spadefoot toad), 213 nucleotides. NCBI's taxonomy places the organism in Eukaryota, Metazoa, Chordata, Amphibia, Anura, Pelobatidae. The record is from the annotation of a GenBank genome assembly.